AGUCCCGGAGUUGUAUUACUGAGGGGGGGAGCUCGGAAUGGAUCGAAAUAACAAUUUCUUCCAAAAAUAUGCUCCUGCAAUUAACUACCCAAUCCCAUACACUGACUCAGACCAACCCUCCACCAUCUCCAUCGACCGCUCCAGCCUCUGCGACACCACCUAAACACUAACUCUGUUUAUCUAACCUACUUCUUGUUACUGUCAGAGCACUCCCAUGAGCCUUGUUCCGACUCCGACCUCGUCAAGCACCUCAAGGGCAUCAUCAAGGUUGCUUAGGGCACAAUUGCUUCUGUUGGUCUUGGAUUUGUUCAAAUGACCAAAUGACUGAGAAUUAUAUUGUGCUUCCUCUCUUUUCGUACUCUUUCUCUACUGGAGAGCUGCUGGGUGCUUGGGUUUGAGGUUGGCACAGAAUAAGAUGGGUAUUGGUGAUCGGCUUGCCAUUCGGUUAACCCGAUCUAUGUUCCCUUGAUUUCCUGCUGAUUGGAAUUUUUUUUUGCAGCUGUUGAUAGUAAUUGAUCAAUCUGAUAUCCAGUUCGUAAGAUUUUCAGGAUAAAGUUGUACUGUGUUGUUGUAAGAGGCAUUCGGCUUAUUUCCAGGCUUCUCUGCAUAGUGCAGAUGGAAGUAAUGGAGAAACAUCUAAAAAUGGAACUGCUUUGGUAAAUGAAGUUAGCAACCCUGCCUCUGUCAAUUGUAAGCCAUCUUCCGCCACUCCUUAGAAGUAUUUUGAGAGAAAGAGGGAGUCCACUUCUACUUGAAAGUCGAUAGUCCCAGCAAAUCAGGACAAGAGAACACAAAGAUUUCAAAAGGGGUCAACAUCAAGCUCACUGUAUGGAGCACUGGAUUGCAGUAACUGAACUAUGCAUCCUCUUAAACAAAACAGAUCAAGUGAGGCAUCACUUUUGAUGAUCUUAGUUAACAAAUGAUGUCAUUCAAAACAAUCUGGGGGAUGGUAGUCUGAAAUACAAAAGAGUUGAAUCAAUGACCAAGCAAAAAAAGGGGCUUGUGAUGCCUCCCAUGUUUUCUAAUGCCUCCAUAGAAAACUCUAAUGCCCAUCGCUCAUUUUCCAAAGCUUGUUCUCUUGCUAGAUUUCAAGGAAGUCCUUAUUUGCUAAGGCCCUAACCGAGAACAUUUUAUUCUUACAAAGUACUUAACUUGACAUUAGUGAACCUUGUCCAACCGAAUGCGGAUAUUUUUCAUAUUUUUAUGAUAUAGGUUAAGAGCAUCGACGCGUUUGUCACACGUCUCUUUGCUUUCCACAUUGAACGCUGCAUGUGCUAAAGUUUUUAGUUAUGAACAUCAUACGAAGGACUCACCACCUUUCCCAUCUAUUUGAUUGGAUUCCGUUGGAGAGUUCACC
Long non-coding RNA from Argentina anserina (silverweed cinquefoil), 1357 nucleotides. RefSeq lists it as uncharacterized. NCBI's taxonomy places the organism in Eukaryota, Viridiplantae, Streptophyta, Magnoliopsida, Rosales, Rosaceae. The transcript is spliced from 3 exons. The record is from RefSeq and is a predicted model, not a curated record.